AAACGACUGCUAAUACCGCAUACGCCCUACGGGGGAAAGGAGGGGACCUUCGGGCCUUCCGCGAUUGGNUGAACCUAGGUGGGAUUAGCUAGUUGGUGAGGUAAUGGCUCACCAAGGCGACGAUCCCUAGCUGUUCUGAGAGGAUGAUCAGCCACACUGGGACUGAGACACGGCCCAGACUCCUACGGGAGGCAGCAGUGGGGAAUAUUGCACAAUGGGGGAAACCCUGAUGCAGCCAUGCCGCGUGUGUGAAGAAGGCCUUCGGGUUGUAAAGCACUUUCAGUAGGGAGGAAAGGUAAUAGUUUAAUAAACUAUUNCUGUGACGUUACCUACAGAAGAAGGACCGGCUAACUCCGUGCCAGCAGCCGCGGUAAUACGGAGGGUCCGAGCGUUAAUCGGAAUUACUGGGCGUAAAGCGUGCGCAGGCGGUUUGUUAAGCCAGAUGUGAAAUCCCCGGGCUCAACCUGGGAAUUGCAUUUGGAACUGGCGAACUAGAGUCUUGUAGAGGGGGGUAGAAUUCCAGGUGUAGCGGUGAAAUGCGUAGAUAUCUGGAGGAAUACCGGUGGCGAAGGCGGCCCCCUGGAC
RNAcentral lists this ribosomal RNA (585 nucleotides) under uncultured microorganism. Its description in RNAcentral is "bacterial SSU rRNA". It matches the Rfam family "Bacterial small subunit ribosomal RNA", at positions 154 to 734 of the family's 1533-position model. The record is from RNAcentral.